Molecule: ribosomal RNA, 501 nt
Filed under: uncultured Streptococcus sp.
Lineage: Bacteria; Bacillati; Bacillota; Bacilli; Lactobacillales; Streptococcaceae
Description: partial 16S ribosomal RNA
Source: RNAcentral
CACGUAGUUAGCCGUCCCUUUCUGGUAAGCUACCGUCACAGUGUGAACUUUCCACUCUCACACCCGUUCUUGACUUACAACAGAGCUUUACGAUCCGAAAACCUUCUUCACUCACGCGGCGUUGCUCGGUCAGGGUUACCCCCAUUGCCGAAGAUUCCCUACUGCUGCCUCCCGUAGGAGUCUGGGCCGUGUCUCAGUCCCAGUGUGGCCGAUCACCCUCUCAGGUCGGCUAUGUAUCGUCGCCUAGGUGAGCCAUUACCUCACCUACUAGCUAAUACAACGCAGGUCCAUCUUGUAGUGGAGCAAUUGCCCCUUUACAAAUAAAUGACAUGUGUCAUCCAUUGUUAUGCGUAUUAGCUAUCGUUCAAUAGUUACUCCCCGACUACAAGGCUAGGUUACCUACGGCGUUACCUCACCCGUUCGCAACUCACUCCAAAGAGAGCAAGCUCCUCUCUUCAGCCGUUCUACUUGCUAUGUAUUAGGCACGCCCGCCAGCGUCUC